GGCACCGGUCCCAGGGUCAAGAGACUUUCGGUUGACUCAGCCAUCACUUGGAGCACGACUGGGGAUCUUCGUCGCCCCGCCUCACCGGAUUUCACCCUUCUCGCCGCCCAUCUGACCCCAUGCCCACCCACUGCGGUCCCGAUUGCGGUCCACAGAGGUGCUCCGGCGUGCGCGCCUCUCGCCAACCGGGGAUCCUGCAGAAGGGAGGGAGGGAAGGAAGAAAGCGUGGUGUGAAGCAAGCCAUCUUCAGUCUGUGUCAAAAUGACCUUGCAACCCCACACUGCAUGACCGAAGACGCUAGCCGGACAGGUCCUCAAUAGGAAAAGCUCUGACAUUUGAGGAGCUUAGAAGCCAUCGCUUCUGUCCUUACAACAAGAGAAAAAACUGAACAAACUGAAAAUGAAUGACUUUUCUUAAACCUAUCAGAGAAUUGAGGUCACAGGGAAAGCCACCACCCUGAAUUGUGGAGAGAUGGAAAAAUGUGGGUGAUAACAACCAAGAUCAGUUUACUUGGAGCAAAAGCCACUGGAGCCAUAAACUGUUAGGAUCACUUAAAUGAUAAUUUUGAUGAAUUGCUGAAGGAAACCAUGUAAGCAAGAAGACAGUGGAGUGAAAUAUUUAAAGUGUUGGGGGAAAAGACUAGAAUUCUACAUCCAG
Molecule: long non-coding RNA, 657 nt
Filed under: Equus asinus (donkey)
Lineage: Eukaryota; Metazoa; Chordata; Mammalia; Perissodactyla; Equidae
Description: lncRNA (ENSEASG00005031607.1)
Source: RNAcentral